GUGUCAGCCGCCGCGGUAAUACCAGCUCCUCGAGUGGUUGGGACGAUUAUUGGGUCUAAAGCGUCCGUAGCCGGCCGGAAAAGUUCUCCGUUAAAUCCAACGAUUCAAUCGUUGGGCCGCGGGGAAUACUCUUCGGCUUGGGGGCGAGGGAGGUCGGCGGUAGUCUCGGGGUAGGGGCGAAAUCCUAUAAUCCCGAGAGGACCACCAGUGGCGAAGGCGGCCGACUAAAGCGCGCCCGACGGUGAGGGACGAAAGCUGGGGGAGCGAACGGGAUUAGAUACCCCGGUAGUCCCAGCUGUAAACGAUGCAGGCUAGGUGUUGGGACGGCCACGAGCUGUCCCAGUGCCGCAGGGAAGCCAUUAAGCCUGCCACCUGGGGAGUACGGUCGCAAGGCUGAAACUCAAAGGAAUUGGCGGGG
RNAcentral lists this ribosomal RNA (418 nucleotides) under uncultured prokaryote. Its description in RNAcentral is "bacterial SSU rRNA". It matches the Rfam family "Archaeal small subunit ribosomal RNA", at positions 455 to 873 of the family's 1478-position model. The record is from RNAcentral.